AGCAGCCGCGGUAAUUCCAGCUCCAAUAGCGUAUAUUAAAGUUGUUGCAGUUAAAAAGCUCGUAGUUGAAUUUCGGGGUUCUACCGUUGGUCGGGCUAUUGUCUGUACUGGCGUGUAGAAUUUCUACCUUCUGGGGAACUAUCAUGUUAUUAAUUUAGCGUGGUAGGAAACCAGGACCUUUACCUUGAAAAAAUUAGAGUGUUCAAAGCAGGCUUAUGUCUGAAUACAUUAGCAUGGAAUAAUAAAAUAGGACGGUGGUCCUGUUUUGUUGGUUUCUGAAUCACCGUAAUGAUUAAUAGGGAUAGUUGGGGGCAUUAGUAUUCAAUUGUCAGAGGUGAAAUUCUUGGAUUUAUUGAAGACUAACUACUGCGAAAGCAUUUGCCAAGGAUGUUUUCAUUAAUCAAGAACGAAAGUUAGGGGAUCGAAGACGAUCAGAUACCGUCGUAGUCUUAACCAUAAACUAUGCCGACUAGGGAUCGGACGAUGUUAAUUUUUCUUGACUCGUUCGGCGCCUUACG
RNAcentral lists this ribosomal RNA (518 nucleotides) under uncultured Gigasporaceae. RNAcentral describes it as "SSU rRNA". It matches the Rfam family "Eukaryotic small subunit ribosomal RNA", at positions 569 to 1092 of the family's 1831-position model. The record is from RNAcentral. Lineage: Eukaryota; Fungi; Glomeromycota; Glomeromycetes; Diversisporales; Gigasporaceae.